This is a long non-coding RNA of Phoenix dactylifera (date palm), 855 nucleotides long. RefSeq lists it as uncharacterized. The record is from RefSeq and is a predicted model, not a curated record. Lineage: Eukaryota; Viridiplantae; Streptophyta; Magnoliopsida; Arecales; Arecaceae.
UAAAAAAAAAAAAAAUCUAGACUUGACACGGGUAUGUUGAGGUUUAAAUCAGAAUGUGCAGAGAAAAUAUGGUGAAUGGAAUUAUUUGAAAUUGGUCAGACAAGACGACUUUGAUUUGAAGAGUGUUAUGACUUAGUUUGGAAGAAGUAUAAUCUACUCUUGAACUACAUGUACGAAAAUUUCGUGGACGAAAUUUCUUUUAAGGGGUGGAGGAUGUGAGAUCCCGAAACUGGGCCUGGUCCAUUGACCGGCCCAGCCCAAAUUUUGGCCUCACGUGCGUCGCACGUGAGGGCGUGUGAGAGGGGGGGAGCCAUCCCGAAGAAGCCGGCUCCCCCAUUCUUUUUAGGGCUCCUCCUCUCUUUGAAGGGAUGGGAAGAGGAGCCGCUGCCGGCCAAGAGAGAGGGAGAGAGGGGGAGAGCGAAAGAGAGAGAGAGAGAGAGAGAGAACCAUUAAAAAAGGUGGGUCUUCUUCGGCACGGGUCUUCCUCUUCCUCCAUCGCCGCCGGAGAGGAAGGAAGGCGCCGGAUCUUCGUCGGGGCUAAGGUUCUGCGAGGAAUUUGUGAGAUUAAUUGGAUUUGUUGUCGAUCGCGUUCAAUGUAAGUAAUGAACUGCCUUCUCUAGACUCUUCAUUUAUAUAAUAUUAUUUUUGCAUCGAAUAAAUUGUUAAUGAAUUUAUAUUUGAUUUAUGAAUUUUACGAGAUGAUGAUUUGAAUGAAAAAUGAAUAUGUGAACUGGAAUAAUAUUUUUCAGAUUAUUGCUAUAUUUACUGUUCUUGCAUCGUAUAAGCAUAUUUAGAUCGGAUUAUGAUACAUGUAUUAUGUUACCACAAGAAUUUUGAUGUGCAUCAGAUUUAGAA